This 522-nucleotide long non-coding RNA is filed under the name Homo sapiens (human). RNAcentral describes it as "LHRI_LNC1464.1". Lineage: Eukaryota; Metazoa; Chordata; Mammalia; Primates; Hominidae. The record is from RNAcentral.
GUGAGCUGUGUGCUGGUUUGAGAGGGACAGGUGGGGAUGGCUUUGCACCCUUGGCCCCCGGUUGGGUAGGGGAACCCAACCCGGGUUCCCAGCACCCAGGCCGAAUGGACAGGGGUUGCACAGUGGAGGUAAAGGCUUGAGUGACUCCCAGGAAUCCACCCACUGGGGCUCUGGCUGCUGUGGACUCUGGGGCCCUGGCUGCUAUGGACUCUGGGGUCCUGGCUGCCCCCUUCAGCAGGCCCUGCUUGUAGCCGCAGAGUGGUUUUGUUCAAGUCAAUGCUGCCCCUGGAGGGCCCGUGUUCUGUGCAGAGACCAAACCCCCUUGUCGAGGCCAAGGUUCUCCUCUACCCCCAAGCCCUUCUCCUGCCGCCCCUGCACCCGGCCUUGUGACAGCCACCACCUGUUUCCAAAUGACACCAGGGGUGGGCCGCCCACCCCAGGUAGAAUAACCAAGGUGGAGCUGCUCCCAGCUGCCUUGCUCACACCAGCACCAUCUGCCCCUGCCCUGUGCACACCCCUCCC